UACGUAGGGGGGCGAGCGUUGUCCGGAAUCAUUGGGCGUAAAGAGCGUGUAGGCGGCCCGGUCAGUCUGGUGUGAAAUCUUGAGGCUCAACCUCAAGCUGUCAUCGGAUACUGCCGGGCUAGAAUCCGGAAGAGGAGAGUGGAAUUCCUGGUGUAGCGGUGGAAUGCGCAGAUAUCAGGAGGAACACCGAUGGCGAAGGCAGGUCUCUGGGCAUUAACUGACGCUGAGGAGCGAAAGCAUGGGGAGCGAACAGG
This 254-nucleotide ribosomal RNA is filed under the name uncultured bacterium. RNAcentral describes it as "partial 16S ribosomal RNA". It matches the Rfam family "Bacterial small subunit ribosomal RNA", at positions 524 to 776 of the family's 1533-position model. The record is from RNAcentral.